UACGUAGGGUGCGAGCGUUAAUCGGAAUUACUGGGCGUAAAGAGUGUGUAGGCGGUGCUCCCAGUCUGUUGUGAAAUCUCCCGGCUUAACUGGGAGGGUGCAGCGGAAACUAGAGUGCUAGAGGGUGGGAGAGGUAAGCGGAAUUCUGGUGUAGCGGUGAAAUGCGUAGAUAUCAGGAGGAACACCUGUGGUGUAGACAGCUUACUGGACCACUUCUGACGCUGAGACACGAAAGCGUGGGUAGCAAACAGG
RNAcentral lists this ribosomal RNA (252 nucleotides) under uncultured bacterium. RNAcentral's name for it is "partial 16S ribosomal RNA". It matches the Rfam family "Bacterial small subunit ribosomal RNA", at positions 524 to 776 of the family's 1533-position model. The record is from RNAcentral.